UACGUAGGGUGCGAGCGUUAAUCGGAAUUACUGGGCGUAAAGGGUGCGCAGGCGGAGGUGCAAGUCAGCGGUCAAAUUGCGGGGCUCAACCCCGUACUGCCGUUGAAACUGCAUCCCUUGAGUGCGCGAGAAGUAUGCGGAAUGCGUGGUGUAGCGGUGAAAUGCAUAGAUAUCACGCAGAACUCCGAUUGCGAAGGCAGCAUACCGGCGCCCGACUGACGCUGAAGCACGAAAGCGUGGGUAUCGAACAGG
Molecule: ribosomal RNA, 252 nt
Filed under: uncultured Bacteroidales bacterium
Lineage: Bacteria; Pseudomonadati; Bacteroidota; Bacteroidia; Bacteroidales
Description: partial 16S ribosomal RNA
Rfam family: Bacterial small subunit ribosomal RNA
Source: RNAcentral